RNAcentral lists this long non-coding RNA (1939 nucleotides) under Salmo salar (Atlantic salmon). RNAcentral describes it as "lncRNA (ENSSSAG00000105419.1)". The record is from RNAcentral. Lineage: Eukaryota; Metazoa; Chordata; Actinopteri; Salmoniformes; Salmonidae.
GGGUCUUGUAGAUGACCUGGAGCCAGUGGGUUUGGCGAUGAUUAUGAAGCGAGGGCCAGCCAACGAGAGCGUACAGGUCACAGUGGUGGGUAGUAUAUGGUGCUUUGGUGACAAAACGGAUGGCACUGUGAUAGACUGCAUCCAGUUUAUUGAGUAGGGUAUUGGAGGCUAUUUUGUAAAUGACAUCACCAAAGUCAAGAAUCGGUAGGAUGGUCAGUUUUACGAGGGUAUGUUUGGCAGCAUGAGUGAAGGAGGCUUUGUUGCGAAAUAGGAAGCCAAUUCUAGAUUUAACUUUGGAUUGGAGAUGUUUGAUGUGAGUCUGGAAGGAGAGCUUACAGUCUAACCAGACACCUAGGUAUUUGUAGUUGUCCACAUAUUCUAAGUCAGAACCGUCCAGAGUAGUGAUGCUGGACAGGCGGGCAGGUGCAGGCAGCGAUCGGUUGAAGAGCAUGCAUUUCGUUUUACAUUUAACGUAACAUAACCUGUAAAGUUUUUAUACACGAGAACGUUACAGUCCUGGAAAUUCAAGAACAUGAAUUGGGUGUGCUGAAAAUGUAAAUGUAGCAAGUUAGCAAGCUAACUUAGUUGUGUGGGUAGGGAAGGCUAGCUAAUGUGAUUAACUAACUAGCAUACGUAACUGGCUAGCUAGUUGGUCCGCAGUAGCUUGCCAAUUUGGUCUCAACUACUUACACAUUGGCUAACAUUAGCUAAUCAGCUGUUUUCUAUCGGGUAACAUUGGUUAACAUUAGCUAAUCAGCUGUUUUCUAUCGGGUAACAUUGGCUAACGUUAGCUAAUAUUAGUAGCUAACGUUAGCAGCUAACUAGCAAGCAUGGAUGGUGAAAGCAGGCCAACUCUCGCCGGUUAGCUAGCUAGCUGGCUGGCUAGCCGUUUGCAAGCUAACUCGCCAACUAUAGCUUGAUAAUGCUUUAGCUAGAUCGUUUUUGUCAAUCAACUAAGAUUUUUUUUUUUUUUCAACUCACCGUUCUUGGUUUGCGCUGAAGUACCUCCUUGGGUAUAAAAUUGGUUUCCUCGUCCCUCUCCGCUGUAGACAGUCCGCAGCAGCGUUGCUACACGAGUGAAUUGAUUGGUCAGAACGAAUAACCAACUUUCCCGCCUGGCUCGUGAUUCUUUGAAAAGUUCUCUUCCGUUGUCGAGUCUAUGGGUCAUGUGACAUGGGACAUAUUUAAAAAUAACAGUAUCUUAAAACCGUUGACAACUCCGUGUCGUUUUUUUGAAAGCAGAAUGGCGCAUUUGCCAUGGUACUUCAUGCCCGGUGUACACUAGCAGAAGGAGCGGCGCGGUGAAACACCGCUUCCCAUUCAUUUUCAAUGGAAGGAAAGCUGUGAGGGCGGUGCGAACAUGGCAUGGGAGGCGGAGAGAACAUGGUGUGGGAGGCGGUGAAAAAUAUGAACUUUUCGCAAAUUUAUGCAAAUCACCAGCGGCGACCGCUGGGCGAUGACCAAUCAUAUCAAGUGGCUCCCAUGACAAAUUUGAUGCUAUGUGACUGAAGGCUGGAGACUUUCUUCAGCAAAGAUGGCUAGGAUGGAAGCAAAUGUGAUUAUAAUGUCAUAACGAAUCAUGCAAAAAAAAAUGUACAGUUGAGAGGAAUAUGUUAGUUAAUAUAGAGACAAAUGAUUAUGCAUAUUUUUUUUUUAUCAUAAAGUUAAUUUAUGAAAAUUGUGAUUUAGCAAGCUAGCUGACUAGCUAACAUUAGCCAGCUAGCUGGCUAGCUUUAUGGUGUUGUGACACUAGUAUGAAAUUGUAAUUCUGGUUGUUUCAUGUUUUAGGGAUUCCUGAAACACUAGUAUGAAAUUGUAAUUCUGGUUGUUUCAUGUUUUAGGGAUUCCUGAAACAACCAGUAAACCAAGCUGUCAUCUUGUGAAACAAUGGAUGUAAAGAAUCUAGCUAGCUAAAGCAUUUACUGCAAAUUGAGUGUAC